This 65-nucleotide transfer RNA is filed under the name Orestes mouhotii. Its description in RNAcentral is "tRNA-Pro". Lineage: Eukaryota; Metazoa; Arthropoda; Insecta; Phasmatodea; Heteropterygidae. The record is from RNAcentral.
CAAAGGGUAGUUUAAUUUAAGAUAGUAGUUUUGGGUAUUAUUGAUAGGUGUAUAUCUUCCUUUGA